CUUGAACGCUGGCGGCAGGCUUAACACAUGCAAGUCGAGCGAGCGGCGGACGGGUGAGUAAUGUCUGGGAAACUGCCUGAUGGAGGGGGAUAACUACUUUAAACGGUAGCUAAUACCGCAUACCAUCAGAUGUGCCCAGAUGGGAUUAGCUGGUAGGUGGGGUAAUGGCUCACCUAGGCGACGAUCCCUAGCUGGUCUGAGAGGAUGACCAGCCACACUGGAACUGAUACGCGGUCCAGACUCCUACGGUAGGCAGCAGUGGGGAAUAUUGGACAAUGGGCGAAAGCCGGAUGCAGCAAUGCCGCGUGUGGGAAGAGGGCCUUCGGGUUGUAAAGCACUUUCAGCGAGGAGGCGUUACUCGCAGAAGAAGCACCGGCUAACUCCGUGCCAGCAGCCGCGGUAAUAC
Molecule: ribosomal RNA, 406 nt
Filed under: uncultured bacterium
Lineage: Bacteria
Description: partial 16S ribosomal RNA
Rfam family: Bacterial small subunit ribosomal RNA
Source: RNAcentral